CUCAGAGAAGCUGCCCUUGGCUGCUGGUAGCGCUGGGCCUUCUCUCCUCCUCAUCAUCCAGAGCAGCCAGUGUCCGGGAGGCAGAAGAUGCCCCACUCCAGCCUGCAUCCAUCCAUCCCGUGUCCCAGGGGUCACGGGGCCCAGAAAGCAGCCUUGGUUCUGCUGAGUGCCUGCCUGGUGACCCUUUGGGGGCUAGGAGAGCCGCCAGAGCACACUCUCCAGUGCCUGGUGCUCCACCUAGCCUCCCUGCAGCUGGGACUGCUGUUAAACGGGGUCUGCAGCCUGGCCGAGGAGCUGCGCCACAUCCACUCCAGGUGACUCACUGCAGUACCCAUGGUGAUGGGGUAUCCAACAUGUGUCACUCCCUUGAUGCCUAGCCUUGCCCCUCCUUGAACCUGUCUGGCUGAGCUGGGCUUGGGGCUGGGGUCUGGCUGUCACUCACAGGUACCGGGGCAGCUACUGGAGGACUGUGCGGGCCUGCCUGGGCUGCCCCCUCCGCCGUGGGGCCCUGUUGCUGCUAUCCAGCUAUUUCUACUACUCCCUCCCAAAUGCGGUCAGCGUGCCCUUCACUUGGAUGCUUGCCCUCCUGGGCCUCUCGCAGGCACUGAACAUCCUCCUGGGCCUCAAGGGACUGGCCCCAGCUGAGAUCUCUGCAGUCUGUGAAAAAGGGAAUUUCAACGUGGCCCAUGGGCUGGCAUGGUCAUAUUACAUCGGAUAUCUGCGGCUGAUCCUGCCAGGCUGGAGUACAGUGGCAACAAGAUCUCAGCUCACUGCAACCUCUGCCUCCCAGGUUCAAGUGAUUCUCCUGCCUGAGCCUCUUGAAUAGCUAGGAUUACAGGGAUCCAGGCCCGGAUUCGAACUUACAAUCAGCAUUACAACAACCUG
Molecule: small RNA, 885 nt
Filed under: Pongo abelii (Sumatran orangutan)
Lineage: Eukaryota; Metazoa; Chordata; Mammalia; Primates; Hominidae
Description: processed transcript
Source: RNAcentral